This 502-nucleotide RNase P RNA is filed under the name Fibrella forsythiae. RNAcentral describes it as "RNase P RNA component class A". It matches the Rfam family "Bacterial RNase P class A". Rfam says of the family: Ribonuclease P (RNase P) is a ubiquitous endoribonuclease, found in archaea, bacteria and eukarya as well as chloroplasts and mitochondria. Its best characterised activity is the generation of mature 5'-ends of tRNAs by cleaving the 5'-leader elements of precursor-tRNAs. Cellular RNase Ps are ribonucleoproteins. The record is from RNAcentral. Lineage: Bacteria; Pseudomonadati; Bacteroidota; Cytophagia; Cytophagales; Spirosomataceae.
GACCCGGGUCGUCUUAUCGCCUCGCUUUCUGGCGGGGAGGAAAGUCCGGACAGCAUAGAGCACCCUACUUCCUAACGGGAAGGCGGACGGCGGGUAACCACCGUUCGACAGCCAGUGUCACAGAAAAUAUACCGCUUUCCAGCGUGGGGCAUUGGGUUGGGGGCUUGGGGUGCGCUGCUAUAUCGCAUAACGGUGAUAAGGCAGAAAUCCCUCAGCCCAGAGCUCUAUGCCCCACGCCCGGAAAGUAAGGGUGAAAAGGGGGUGUAAGAGACCACCGCGCGCUGGGCGACCAGCGGGGCAUGAUAAACCUUAGGGGCUGAAAGAUCAAAUAUGUGUUGGACGAGGGGCUGCUCGUCUCCACGUCACUUUCGGGUGGCUGCCAACACGGGUAGAUCGAUAGAGGGAGCCGGUGACGGCUCUCCCAGAUAAAUGAUAAGACGGUUCGGUGCGCCUACGGGUACGGUCGGGCCGACAGAAUCCGGCUUAUAGAUCCGGGUCGAUG